RNAcentral lists this ribosomal RNA (253 nucleotides) under uncultured bacterium. Its description in RNAcentral is "partial 16S ribosomal RNA". It matches the Rfam family "Bacterial small subunit ribosomal RNA", at positions 524 to 776 of the family's 1533-position model. The record is from RNAcentral.
UACGUAGGGUGCGAGCGUUAAUCGGAAUUACUGGGCGUAAAGUGUGCGCAGGCGGCCGCGCAAGUCGAGUGUGAAAUCCCCGAGCUUAACUUGGGAAUUGCGCUCGAAACUACGUGGCUGGAGUGUGGCAGAGGAAGGUGGAAUUCCACGUGUAGCGGUGAAAUGCGCAGAUAUCAGGAGGAACACCGAUUGCGAAGGCAGCUCGCUGGGACGUCACUGACGCUGAGACGCGAAAGCGUGGGGAGCAAACAGG